CCGCUCGUAGCUCAGCUGGAUAGAGCGUCGCCCUCCGGAGGCGAAGGUCACAGGUUCGAAUCCUGUCGAGCGGGCCA
RNAcentral lists this transfer RNA (77 nucleotides) under Marinospirillum celere. RNAcentral's name for it is "tRNA_Arg_CCG". It matches the Rfam family "tRNA". Rfam says of the family: Transfer RNA (tRNA) molecules are approximately 80 nucleotides in length. Their secondary structure includes four short double-helical elements and three loops (D, anti-codon, and T loops). Further hydrogen bonds mediate the characteristic L-shaped molecular structure. tRNAs have two regions of fundamental functional importance: the anti-codon, which is responsible for specific mRNA codon recognition, and the 3' end, to which the tRNAs corresponding amino acid is attached (by aminoacyl-tRNA synthetases). tRNAs cope with the degeneracy of the genetic code in two manners: having more than one tRNA (with a specific anti-codon) for a particular amino acid; and 'wobble' base-pairing, i.e. permitting non-standard base-pairing at the 3rd anti-codon position. Lineage: Bacteria; Pseudomonadati; Pseudomonadota; Gammaproteobacteria; Oceanospirillales; Oceanospirillaceae. The record is from RNAcentral.